This 433-nucleotide ribosomal RNA is filed under the name uncultured bacterium. RNAcentral describes it as "partial 16S ribosomal RNA". It matches the Rfam family "Bacterial small subunit ribosomal RNA", at positions 29 to 507 of the family's 1533-position model. The record is from RNAcentral.
AACGAACGCUGGCGGCAGGCCUAACACAUGCAAGUCGAGCGAGGACUUCGGUCCUAGCGGCGGACGGGUGCGUAACGCGUGGGAACGUGCCCUUUGCUUCGGAAUAGCCCUGGGAAACUGGGGGUAAUACCGGAUGAGCCCUUUGGGGGAAAGAUUUAUCGGCGAAGGAUCGGCCCGCGUUGGAUUAGGUAGUUGGUGGGGUAAUGGCCUACCAAGCCGACGAUCCAUAGCUGGUUUGAGAGGAUGAUCAGCCACACUGGGACUGAGACACGGCCCAGACUCCUACGGGAGGCAGCAGUGGGGAAUCUUAGACAAUGGGGGAAACCCUGAUCUAGCCAUGCCGCGUGAGCGAUGAAGGCCUUAGGGUUGUAAAGCUCUUUCAGCUGGGAAGAUAAUGACGGUACCAGCAGAAGAAGCCCCGGCUAACUCCGUG